This 335-nucleotide unclassified non-coding RNA is filed under the name soil metagenome. Its description in RNAcentral is "partial contains 5.8S ribosomal RNA, internal transcribed spacer 2, and large subunit ribosomal RNA". The stretch from base 1 to 120 matches the Rfam family "5.8S ribosomal RNA", at positions 35 to 154 of the family's 154-position model. The record is from RNAcentral.
GAUGAAGAACGUAGCGAAAUGCGAUAAGUAAUGUGAAUUGCAGAAUUCAGUGAAUCAUCGAAUCUUUGAACGCACAUUGCGCCCAUUAGUAUUCUAGUGGGCAUGCCUGUUCGAGCGUCAUUUCAACCCUUAAGCCUAGCUUAGUAUUGGGAAUCGACUUUACUGUCGUUCCUCAAAUUCAACGGCGGAUUUAUAGCAAUCUCUGAACGUAGUAAUUUUUUUCCUCGUUUUUGAAAUACUAUAAACCUCAGCCGCUAAACCCCCAAUUUUUUUAUGGUUGACCUCGUAUCAGGUAGGAAUACCCGCUGAACUUAAGCAUAUCAAUAAGCGGAGGA